Molecule: non-coding RNA, 793 nt
Organism: Kogia breviceps (pygmy sperm whale)
Lineage: Eukaryota; Metazoa; Chordata; Mammalia; Artiodactyla; Physeteridae
Source: RefSeq, a predicted model, not a curated record
CCAGCCUGAAAGCAACACUCGGCUGUAAUUCAGUGUGAUGGGCAGCGGGUAUAUCUCUGACUAGAGUCGUAGCCUUUGGAGCCAAAGGAACCUAACUCCCAACUCUUGUGGCCUAUUCCCCACCUUUACACAUGGGAAAGCAGCCCCGCAGGGCUGAGCAAUGUCCGCGAAAUCAUGUACUUAGCACCCCGGAACCUGGCUCCGUCGCAACUAGGCGAGACACAAGCCUGAACUGGGCCUUGUGCUCUGUACUCUGGUACUCGGCCAGACCUGUGCCGUUUAACCAGGGCUUCCAGUCACCAAGACCGAGUCCCCCGCAACCCCUAGGAAUGUGCCCUCAUCUGGAUUAAGAAAGAAAGAGAGGGAAGAAAGUCGAGAAAGAUAGGAAAACACCAGAAAAAAAGACAAGGGGGGAGGAAAAAGAAAUGAAAGCAUGUCAUAGUUGUAAUUCCCCACUUUUCAGGUUCAAUUUUCUAAAAUUUCUAGAAAACAGCAGAAGAGUUCAUAGAAUCUUCUCUGGAAGAAGAGACCUGGCUUUUUAUUUCUUUUUCUUGCCUUAUUCUUCGGCUCAGAUCUAUGGCACGUUAUUGAAUAGAAAUAGCAAAAGAGGACACCCCUGCCUUGUUUCUGAUCUUACUGGGAAUGUUUUCAAUACUCCACCUAGAUGCUCUCUUGCCGUCCCAGGACCCCACCCAGGACCCCGCGUGACAUUUAGUCAUCACCUCCCCUCAGCCUCCUCUGGGCUGUGAGGUUUCCUCAGACGUUCCCUGCUUUUGAUGACCUUGGCAGUUGA